AUGCAACGACAGGUUGACCGCGGUCAUGAGCCCCGGGCCAACGGCGGCGACGAACUGAGCCACGGCGGGGCUGGCGACCACGGCGGAAAAGAGAAGGUCGGCCACCUGGACCGCGACGAGGUUUUCGCUAGGGUCGCAGAAGAAGUAAGAGAGAAGCCCGGCAACCCUUUCGGUCGUGAAACACACCACCGGGAAGGAGGCAACCACCCAGAGCUUGCCCGGGGAGCAGAUCUCGGAGCGGCCGGGCAAAAGGACACGCCGGAGAGAAAAGACGACUGGACACGUUUAUGGAAGGAGAUACCUGGUCGGGUAACAAUGGCACGGGGGCGGGCGUUGGAGUCUUCCACAGCAGAGCCCAGCUCAGUGUCGGUGUCCGAUCUCUCCGCAUGAUCCAAGCUGGCUCUGUUGGACAUGAUCAAGGCGGUCACUUUCCUUCCUAGUCAUCUCUCCGCGUUCGUGGCCAAGAACGCGGAUGGAUCGCGCAGCGGCGUGGUCACCGCCUGGGACCCUUCAUCCUAUGCCCUGCUCUCCUCCUUUGAAACCAAUUUUUCGGUCACGGUUAAGCUGGCGUGUGCUUCUUCUGGUGCCGUCAUCUUCCUGACCAACGUCUACGCCCCCUCUGACCACUCGCUCACCGACGAGUUUGUCGACGACAUGCUGGCUAUCCCCCCUUCUAUGCUUGACCGUGCUUUCUUCGACGAUGCAUGGGACGUUUGCUUCCCGGACACGGCCCUUGCGUCGCUCCCUCGUGCCACCUCAGAUCACGUCCCUCUCCUGGUCACGGCUUCCACCAAGAUUCCGGCUCCUUCCAGAUUUUUCUUCGAAAAUGUGUGGCUCCUAAACCCCGCCUUCCUCCCUGCCAUGCUCCCGUUUUGGUCUGGUUCAGUUUGUGGUACAGGCGCAGCUGGUGUGCUUGUGGCUAGAAAAGAAGCUUUCAGGUCCGCGGCCAAGGUUUGGAAAAGGCAGCACCGGUACAUUCCCACCUUUGAUAAUGACUGUAGAUUCUUGAUUGAUCUCUUUGACUUUCUGGAAGAAAAUCGUGUUCUCUCCACAUACGAGGCUGCGCUUCGAUGUGAUGCGCGACUUGCCUUGGCCGCGUCGAUCAGGCGCCAGUGCGCGCACUGGCAUCAAAGAGGGAAACGUCGGGCGGUGUGUGAGGGUGACGAGAACACCCGGCUCUUUCAUGCCUCGGCGUCGCAGCGGCGUCGCCGCAACUCCAUCAGCGCGCUGGAAGUCGAAGGGGUCCAGGUUGUGGACCAUGCAGGGAAGGCCGCAGUGCUGCUGGCAUACUACUCCGCCCUUCUGGGCUGGCCCAGGAUGGCUAUGUGGCGGUUCGACCUGGCGGGCCUUUACGCCCAGGCGUCUCGGGUCGAUGGCGCAAAACUGGUGGCUCGUUUUGAUCUCGCCGAGAUCAAGACGGCGGUCGACAAGCUCGAUCGAUCGAGCGCGUCUGGCCCCGAUGGGCUCGGUCCCGCCUUCUACCAGGCGGCGUGGGGGGCGGUGGCCGGCGAUCUCCAACGGCUUUUUGACGAGUUCCACGCCAGCACAGCUCGGUUGGACGGGAUCAAUCGCGCCUACGUCGCUCUGCUCCCCAAAGGUGGGGAGGUGUCGACGCCUGCAUCCUUCGGCCCGGUCUCGUUGCAAAACGAAGAUGUGAAGAUACUGUGCCGAGGGCUCACGUCGAGGCUGCAGCAACAGAUCCCCCUCUUGAUCGAUGAAGACCAGUCUGGGUUCGUGCGGGGGCGAAGCAUCUCCGAAAAUUUCAUCUACGCCACUGAGCUCAUGCAGUGCUGUCAUCGGCGAGCGGCGCCCAUGAUGGUUCUUAAGCUCGACUUCGCCAAAGCUUUCGAUUCCAUCUGCUGGGCGAGCUUGCGCGCAAUCAUGGAAGCAGGGCCCCCCGUCUCUUCCUACCUCUUCCUCAUCGUCGUCGACGUCCUCCAGCAGCUCAUUCGCCAAGAUGCUGUGAUGCGCCACCCCCUGCUGCCGGAGGAGCCCGCAGUCGUGCUCCAGUACACCGACGACACGCUCAUCAUCAUGCGUGCGUGUGCGGACGGGGCUGCUCGCCUGCGGGUAAUCCUCGACCAGUUCACAGAAGCUACGGGGCUGGUUAUCAACUUCUCCAAAAGCACGUUGGUGCCACAGCAUACGGAGGGAGAGCUGCUGGCGCGGGUGGUGACCGCGCUCGGCUGCGCCACGGGUGCGUUCCCGCAAACCUACCUCGGGCAUCCGUUGUCAUGGGAAAAGCUGCGGUCCGCGGAUUUCCUGCCAAUGCUCGCGAAGGUGGACAUGGCCAAAAAUGAAGGAGGCCUUGGCGUUCGCGACCUCGCCACCCAGAACGCAUGCCUCCUCCUGAAGAUGCUUCAUCGCCUACACACGACGCCCCGGUCACGCCGGGCGGCCUGGAUCUGGAGCAGCACGGACGAGCGGUCCAUCCUCACGCGCGGCGAGCUAGCGUGCGGAGAACACCACGCCUCGGUGGCAAAACUGCUUCCGCUCUACCGCACGAUCACCAGGGUGACGGUCGGGGAUGGCCGGGCCUGCUCUUUCUGGUGGGAUUCCUGGCUCCCCUGCGGGCCUGUGGCGGUGGCGUACCCCGCCGUCUUCUCCCAUGCCACGGACGUCGAGGCGACUGUUUGGCAGGUCCGCCGGCGUGGCAUGACCGGUUGCCUAGUCCCUAGGCUGACCAGGGCGGGCGUGCGGGAUCUGCAAGACGUCUGGGCUCUCCUGGUGGCGGCUGCCCCCGGUGGGGGGGACGACAAGCGGCAACUACGGCAUGCUGCAGUGCCCCACGACGCUCUGUCGUCGAGUGCCGCGUACAGGUUGCUGCGUUUCGGCGGGGCGAAGGCUGGCUUCGUGGAUAUGAUCUGGGGCGCGCGGAUCCCCUCGCGUGUGCAGUUCUUCAGUUGGUUGCUGGUCCAGAGGCGGAUACACACAAGGGACGUGCUGCUUCGCAAGUGCAUCGUCGCCGCGGCGGACGCCGGCUGCCCUUUGUGCGCUGAGCCCCUGGAAACAGCCGACCACAUGCUCUUCGCCUGCCCCUUCGCUUGUGACUUUUGGAACAAGCUGGGCGUCGACACUUCUGGGAUCAGGGCGGGCUGCCUCGCCUUGCCACUGCGGUGGGCGCGGUGA
This 3129-nucleotide ribosomal RNA is filed under the name Triticum aestivum (bread wheat). RNAcentral's name for it is "partial small subunit ribosomal RNA". Lineage: Eukaryota; Viridiplantae; Streptophyta; Magnoliopsida; Poales; Poaceae. The record is from RNAcentral.